GCAACUUCCACACUUUAUUCUGCUACAAAGGAAACCAAAAGCUAAGAAGCUGCAUAGAAGAAUAAUGUGCAUCACUGCAACACAACGCAUUCUGUUUCAUCAAAUCCAUACUUCCAAGAACAGGAGACGUUUAAAAAGGUCCAAACUUCAAGUUCAGAGGCUUUCCAGAAGGAGAUCAUUUGAAGAGAAGCAGGGGAAGGAUAUUGAGCUGAAGAAUCUGCAGCUGUAUUUGGAGAACCAAACUAUAAUUGAAGAGAAUGAGAAGCUGAGGGAGAAAGCUAAUAUCCUUCAUCAAGAGAACUUGGCUUUAAUGACUGAGUUUCACAAAAAAUUCCCACAUUUUGAUCAGAGAAAAUGAUGGGAUUCAUCAGAGGGUGACAUGGUUUUAUCUCUUCCUUUCUUAAUGUAUUCGACUCUUUAUUCAAUAUAUGUGUGCACUUUGUCAAGAACA
Cucurbita moschata (crookneck pumpkin) is the source of this 451-nucleotide long non-coding RNA. RefSeq lists it as uncharacterized. Lineage: Eukaryota; Viridiplantae; Streptophyta; Magnoliopsida; Cucurbitales; Cucurbitaceae. The transcript has 2 exons. The record is from RefSeq and is a predicted model, not a curated record.